UUCCUUCUCUUCCCAAAUACGUGAUUCUCUCUCUCUUCUCUCCAAAUACGAUUUCUCCAAAUCCCUUUUCUCCAAAUUCGAUCUCUUCCCAAAAUCGAGCCUUCCUUCCAAAUACGAAUUGCGCAAAUCCCUAACUUUCCUUCACAAAGCAGGUAUCAGAUUUAGGCAAAUACGAAAUCGUCCCAUACCCAAACCCUAGAUUCGCGAUUCGCUGAUAACGAACAAAAGCCGAACUUCUCUCCAAAUCAGGUACGUUUAACUUAGUUUCAUAUAACUCGAAUUCGUGCUAAAAUCUCCCUGUUACAGCCCUUGACUGUCAAAUUCAAAUCCAUUCAAUUUUAGUAUAAUAGUUCGGAUGUGGCAGAGUUGGUGUGACACACGAUAAAAAAAAAAUUGUCCCGUGCUUAAUAAUCAGUAAGCAAGUUUACCUAUUUUGACUUUGUCAGCAUGUUUAAAUUUGACUUUGCUAUUUGGCUAAAUUUGACUUUGACUUUGUAAUUUGUUUAAAUGUAGAACUGGAGCUGGAGCAUGAUGAUGCUACUCAGGAUCCAGUGUAGAUGACGAUGAUAAUGAUUCACCCCCAGGUGCAACUGAGAUUAUGAGGUAAAGUAUUUUCCUAUGUUCAAGUCAUUCUAAACUAUUAGAGGUACUAAAGUAUUUUCCCAUGUAUUCAGUUUUCUAACUUUUUGUCGUACAGUAACAGGGACGCUGAACCUGGUCUUGAAUAGCCUGAUGGAGUUUAUUAGAGGUAAGAAACAAGCUUUUAAGGAUUUCACUGCAGGAACCUGGUCUUGUAUUCAGUUGGUUUCAGUUAAAUUUGUCACUUCUCAGUUCAUUUUUGGUAGCAAAAACUAGCUGGGCAGUGUAUGUAUAUUAUAAACCUGUAAACCAUUCCCUUUGAGUUUAUGUAAACAAAAAUGAACUGAAAAAAUGAACUGUUAUAAUAGCUGGGCAGUGUUUUCUGUAAACUGUAAUGGUACUCUUUGUUUUUCCUAAUUUAUGUUCUACUUUUAAGGAUUUCCUUGUCAAGUGCACAUACAGCUUAUGAUAUCCUUCUUGUAAACUGCCCACUAAACUAUGGAGUGGAUUCACUUUAUUGCAGUUUAUUCAUUUGUGCAAGUCAUUCACAUUAUUGCAGUUUCAGUUUCUAUAAAUUUACUUUAUAAUGAAGUUAGAAUGCAGUUUCAGUUUCAGUCAUUCACAUUAUUGCAGUUUCAUUCACAUUAUAAUGGAGUUUCAGCUUCUUUGUAAUCUGUGAUCUAUUAUUUGUUCACAAUCUUUGUAAUCUGUCAUUCACAUUAUUUGUUCUUCUGUUAUUCAGGUCAUGGAACAUAAAGGUAUGGUGAAUUAAGCAAAUUUCUCUCCAAUGAAGCUGCUGCGGUAAUGAAGCUGCUGCCAGUCUUAUAGAAGCAGGCAUUACUAUAUGGGAAGCUGCUGUUUUGUGUUCCUUGGUUUUCCAUCUUAAUUUGCAUUUAUGUUUUCGUGAGAUUGCCCUGUUUAGUAUACUUCUAGAUCCUAGGAGCUAAAUAUAUAUAGAGAGAGAGUAAGUGGCAAAAUUCCAAUUGAGUAAGUGGCAAAAUUCUGCACAAUCUUGUAUUUGGCUUAUGUAUUGAGUAAGCGGCAAAAUUCCAGGCAAAUAAGAAGACAAAAGAUUGCAAU
This 1659-nucleotide long non-coding RNA is filed under the name Panax ginseng (ginseng). RNAcentral describes it as "long non-coding RNA (PGIN_LNC013545)". The record is from RNAcentral. Lineage: Eukaryota; Viridiplantae; Streptophyta; Magnoliopsida; Apiales; Araliaceae.